UGGGGAAUUUUGGACAAUGGGGGCAACCCUGAUCCAGCAAUGCCGCGUGUGUGAAGAAGGCCUUCGGGUUGUAAAGCACUUUUGUCCGGGAAGAAAUCCCCUGCCCUAAUACGGCGGGGGAUGACGGUACCGGAAGAAUAAGCACCGGCUAACUACGUGCCAGCAGCCGCGGUAAUACGUAGGGUGCGAGCGUUAAUCGGAAUUACUGGGCGUAAAGCGUGCGCAGGCGGUGAUGUAAGACCGAUGUGAAAUCCCCGGGCUCAACCUGGGAACUGCAUUGGUGACUGCAUUGCUCGAGUAUGGCAGAGGGGGGUGGAAUUCCACGUGUAGCAGUGAAAUGCGUAGAGAUGUGGAGGAACACCGAUGGCGAAGGCAGCCCCCUGGGCCAAUACUGACGCUCAUGCACGAAAGCGUGGGGAGCAAACAGGAUUAGAUACCCUGGUAGUCCACGCCCUAAACGAUGUCAACUGGUUGUCGGGCCUUCAUUGGCUUGGUAACGUAGCUAACGCGUGAAG
Molecule: ribosomal RNA, 515 nt
Filed under: uncultured bacterium
Lineage: Bacteria
Description: partial 16S ribosomal RNA
Rfam family: Bacterial small subunit ribosomal RNA
Source: RNAcentral